AAUAAAUGCUACAAACAGUUUUUUUUUAUUUUAUUAUAUACACACACACAUACACACGUAUACAAUUUAUAUGUUACUAACACAUAUUUAAACUAUGGAGAAUUCGGUUAUAUCAAGUGAUGAUAUAAACCCAGGAGGUGCAUUUUUAUUUAGUGAUUCAAAUGAAACAUGUCGAGAAUUUAACAAAAUUGAAGAAUGUUCAAAAUGUUCCAGGCCCGUCGAAGAUGCUCUAGUAUUAACCUGCUGUCAUUUAAUAUGUCUAUCAUGUGCAAGUUCGGAGUUAUCAAAUAACUAUAAAAAAUUUAUGAGAGUAUACACAAAUGAACAUAAUGAAAAGCAAGGUACUUCGAGAUAUAAUAUAGAAUCAUGCUAUAACGAUUUUAAAAAUAUAGAAAAAAAAAAUAAAGGUGAUAAAAUGGAAAUAUUAAAAAAAGAGAAAAUAGGAUAUAUAAGUUGUGAUAUAUGUGACACUAAAAAUAAACUUACUGUAGAUGCUUUAGAAUUAUUAACGAAAAUUGGAUUAUUUUCGUCUAACAUUUUAUCUGUUCAUAAAUUAUAUUUAAAGACAGCUAAAAAUGAUAAUAUUGAUAACUAUGAUAUAGCAUCUGUAUAUAAUAAUGUUAAAAGACGCAACUGUAAUAAUACAAUAAAAGAUAAUAACAUAAACAAUAGAGGUAAUAAUAGCAGCAAUACAAGUGUUAAUAUGAAUUAUGUGGAUAACAGUCUAGUGUACGGUAUUAACAACCAUAACCCUUACAGUCAUAAUGCCAAUAAUUAUAACUACAAUAACUUUAAAACUAAUAAUUAUAAUUUUCAUACAAAUGAUGAUAUUAAUAAUAGUAUAAAACAACAGACAUCGAAUGAACAAGAAUUUUCACAAAGUGAUAAAAAAAUGGAUGAUACAUUAAGGGAUAUGUUUUUAAAUAAUGAUAAAUUAAAAAAAAUAUUCGAUUUAAAUAAUAAAUACAAAUAUUUAGAUGAACAUAUAGACGAUUUAAAUGCGAAUUCAUAUAUAUGUAAUAUAUGUUCGGAAAAUGAAGCUGUUGUUUAUUGUGACGAUUGUGUUGAAUAUUUAUGUUCGGAAUGUUGUAAUAUUAUUCAUGAGGAAGAAACGUUAAAAACAGUGAUAGAUAAAAAUAUAGAAAAAAAACAUAAUUUUUACAAAAUUGAUAAAAAAGCAAUACAUUUAAAAAAAUUAGUGAAGCAACCUAAAAAAUUUAUAAAUAUAACAAAUGAAGACAUAGAGUUGAUGUAUAAUAGUAGUUCAAAAGAAGAAAGUGAUAGGGGGAAUGAAAACAAGUUGAAAAGAAACCAUGUUUAUGAUACAAAACAUAAAGUUUAUGAUACAAAAUACAAAGUGUAUGAUAAUGAUGAUUCUGAUUUUGAUAAUUAUGAUAAAAAUCAUUUUUAUGAAAGAAAAAAAAAAAUUGUUAGAUAGAAAAGUAGAAGAACAAGAAAAAAUUAAUAUGUCCAAUAAAAUAAAUAAGCUAGUAAAAAAUAUGAAAAAU
Molecule: long non-coding RNA, 1508 nt
Filed under: Piliocolobus tephrosceles (Ugandan red Colobus)
Lineage: Eukaryota; Metazoa; Chordata; Mammalia; Primates; Cercopithecidae
Description: lncRNA (ENSPTEG00000008113.1)
Source: RNAcentral